This 497-nucleotide ribosomal RNA is filed under the name uncultured bacterium. RNAcentral describes it as "partial 16S ribosomal RNA". It matches the Rfam family "Bacterial small subunit ribosomal RNA", at positions 28 to 507 of the family's 1533-position model. The record is from RNAcentral.
GAUGAACGCUGGCGGCGUGCCUAAUACAUGCAAGUCGAGCGAACAGACGAAGAGCUUGCUCCUCAGACGAUAGCGGCGGACGGGUGAGUAACACGGGGAUAACCUACCUAUAAGACUGGGAUAACUUCGGGAAACCGGAGCUAAUACCGGAUAAUAUAUUGAACCGCAUGGUUCAAUAGUGAAAGACGGUUUUGCUGUCACUUAUAGAUGGAUCCGCGCCGUAUUAGCUAGUUGGUAAGGUAACGGCUUAACAAGGCAACGAUGCUUAGACGACCGGAGAGGCGGAUCCGCCACGCUGGAACUUCGCCACGGUCCGGACCCCUACUGGAGGCAGCAGUAGGUAAUCCUGCGGCAUGGGCGAAUGCCGGACAGAGCAACGCCGCGUGAGUGAUGGAGGUCUCCGGAUCGUAAAACUCUUUUUUGAUGGAAGAUCAAAUGUGUAGGUAACUAUCCACUUUUUGACGGUACCUAAUCAGAAAGCCGCGGCUAACUACGUG